AUGAAACAGAUGGUCAUAGAAUUGGUUCAGUGGUUGUGAGUGCAGCAACCCAAGAGUGUCUUAUCUGAAAUACCACCAGGAAUGCCUGGACACAGUAGACAAAGGUUGUUCAACUGGACGCCUUAGGAUACAUGCUUCCAAAAACAAAGUAGCUGAAAAGAAACUAGAAUAACAGGAUAUCAGAGCCAGAGGAGCAUUUGGAGAAGUACGGGAAGGAUGAAAUUACUUUUGAUGGAGAGAGCAUUUAGUGUCUCAGAGAGAAGACAGGACAUCAUUCAUCACUUUCAUGAUGGGGCCGGCAGAUACCACCAUGGUGACGUUUGUGGCAGAAGAGGUGGAGCCAGGGACUGGGGAGAAGAAACGCAAACACAUGAUGGGUUAAAAACUGGUGAAAUCGAAUAGGUUUAAUCAGGACUGAGGAAGAACAUGGCAAGAUAAGUUUAUGGUCAGGGUUGGUUGGUGAUCCUCAGUGUUGCUGCGCAGUAGAAGGUUUUGUGAGCCUGGAACUUGGGAGACUGUUCGGUAGCCCAGGUCUCCUAAGAGUGGGUGCAGUGGCUGUGACCCUGGGCUGCUCAGCAUUCAUGUGGAAAUGAAGGAAGGAGGACUGGAUCAAUCCCAUUUGAAAGCAUCCUUCUCUGCAGCCCACACAAUCCUCCAAUGACACUGACAGAGGUGUACCCUCCUAGUGUACUGGGACCAAAAUUCGGAAGUGUCUGCAAACUUGCUUUAACCGUAUGGGAAAUAACCUCUAUCACCUGGAAUUUCCUUGGGACUUUGGAAAAUACAAGAGAAGUAUGAGACUUGGGUCUUCCCUUGGCUGUGUUUAAUUCACUCUUCUAUGGAAUACCAAUGAUUCUCACUAAGACUUUUGCCUUUUUAUAACCACAAUGUAUGCUUUAUGGAGAAGAUUUUACUCUUUGCUCUACUUAGAAAGAAUAAAUAUGAGCAAUGCUUUA
RNAcentral lists this long non-coding RNA (956 nucleotides) under Homo sapiens (human). Its description in RNAcentral is "HSALNT0295037". The record is from RNAcentral. Lineage: Eukaryota; Metazoa; Chordata; Mammalia; Primates; Hominidae.